GACAUUGAGAUGGAGUUAAUCGGGGAUGAUGAGAGGACAGUAUGGAAAUCAGUGGUAUCAAAAGAUGAAUACAGCAAAGACUCUCAUCCAAUAGCAUUAACAGUCCCUGACAUUC
Long non-coding RNA from Coregonus clupeaformis (lake whitefish), 115 nucleotides. RefSeq lists it as uncharacterized. The record is from RefSeq and is a predicted model, not a curated record. Lineage: Eukaryota; Metazoa; Chordata; Actinopteri; Salmoniformes; Salmonidae. The transcript is spliced from 3 exons.